AUGGGCAAGGAGUGGCCGGUGUGGUUUCGUGAAAACAGUUGCGAUAAAAGGCUUGGAAAUGGAUGGAAACGGUUUGUAGAAGACAACAAGCUGAAGAUGGGUGAUAUGUGCCUCUUUGAACUGCUGAGAGAUGAGAGGACCAUGGAGGUACAUAUCAUCCCCACUGCAAACGAUGACAAUUAUCGGGCAGGUCUCCAGAAUGGUGCUGACCGGGAAGCGGCGUUCCGGGGAGGGGCUCCUACUCAUCAUACGAAUGGAGCGUGUGAUCCUGACACAAGGUUGCUUCGCAUCACUAAAACUGAAGCUAUGGAAGAUGAUGCUGUUGCCCCUGAUGGUGCCUGA
This 342-nucleotide ribosomal RNA is filed under the name Triticum aestivum (bread wheat). RNAcentral's name for it is "partial small subunit ribosomal RNA". The record is from RNAcentral. Lineage: Eukaryota; Viridiplantae; Streptophyta; Magnoliopsida; Poales; Poaceae.